GUCGAACGAUGAAACUUAAAUGAAUUCUUCGGAAUGAUUUUAAUUGGAUUAGUGGCGAACGGGUGAGUAACGCGUGAGUAACCUGCCUUACACAAGGGGAUAGCCUCUGGAAACGGAGAAUAAUACCCUAUGAAACUAUCUUAUCGCAUGAAAAGAUAGUCAAAGUGUUUUAGCGGUGUAAGAUGGACUUGCGUCUGAUUAGCUAGUUGGUGAGAUAACAGCCCACCAAGGCAACGAUCAGUAGCCGGCUUGAGAGAGUGUACGGCCACAUUGGGACUGAGACACGGCCCAGACUCCUACGGGAGGCAGCAGUGGGGAAUUUUGCACAAUGGGGGCAACCCUGAUGCAGCGACGCCGCGUGAUUUAGAAGGCCUUCGGGUUGUAAAAAUCUUUUGUAUAGGAAGAAAAUGACAGUACUAUACGAAUAAGGUCCGGCUAAUUACGUGCCAGCAGCCGCGGUAAUACGUAAGGACCGAGCGUUGUCCGGAAUCAUUGGGCGUAAAGGGUACGUAGGCGGUUAGAAAAGUUAGAAGUGAAAGGCUAUAGCUCAACUAUAGUAAGCUUUUAAAACUGUUUAACUUGAGAGAUGGAAGGGAAAGUGGAAUUCCUAGUGUAGCGGUGAAAUGCGCAGAUAUUAGGAGGAAUACCGGUGGCGAAGGCGACU
Molecule: ribosomal RNA, 664 nt
Filed under: uncultured Eubacteriales bacterium
Lineage: Bacteria; Bacillati; Bacillota; Clostridia; Eubacteriales
Description: bacterial SSU rRNA
Rfam family: Bacterial small subunit ribosomal RNA
Source: RNAcentral